This 253-nucleotide ribosomal RNA is filed under the name uncultured bacterium. Its description in RNAcentral is "partial 16S ribosomal RNA". It matches the Rfam family "Bacterial small subunit ribosomal RNA", at positions 524 to 776 of the family's 1533-position model. The record is from RNAcentral.
UACGAAGGGGGCUAGCGUUGCUCGGAAUUACUGGGCGUAAAGGGCGCGUAGGCGGACAGUUUAGUCAGAGGUGAAAGCCCAGGGCUCAACCUUGGAAUUGCCUUUGAUACUGGCUGUCUUGAGUUCGGGAGAGGUGAGUGGAAUGCCGAGUGUAGAGGUGAAAUUCGUAGAUAUUCGGCGGAACACCAGUGGCGAAGGCGACUCACUGGCCCGAUACUGACGCUGAGGCGCGAAAGCUAGGGGAGCGAACAGG